AGAGUUUGAUCAUGGCUCAGGAUGAACGCUAGCGGCAGGCUUAAUACAUGCAAGUCGAGGGGCAACAGGGGUAGCAAUACCUGCUGGCGACCGGCAAACGGGUGCGCAACACGUACAGAACCUUCCUUUAAGCGGGGGAUAGCCCGGAGAAAUCCGGAUUAAUACCCCAUAGUAUUUUGGUGUGGCAUCACAUUAAAAUUAAAGAUUUAUCACUUAAAGAUGGCUGUGCGUCUGAUUAGGUAGUUGGUUGAGGUAACGGCUCACCAAGCCAACGAUCAGUAACUGGUGUGAGAGCACGACCAGUCACACGGGCACUGAGACACGGGCCCGACUCCUACGGGAGGCAGCAGUAAGGAAUAUUGGUCAAUGGACGCAAGUCUGAACCAGCCAUGCCGCGUGAAGGAUGAAGGUCCUCUGGAUUGUAAACUUCUUUUAUAUGGGAAGAAAUGCCUGCUUUAUAGCGGGUUUGACGGUACCAUAGGAAUAAGCACCGGCUAACUCCGUGCCAGCAGCCGCGGUAAUACGGAGGGUGCAAGCGUUAUCCGGAUUCACUGGGUUUAAAGGGUGCGUAGGUGGGAAUGUAAGUCAGUGGUGAAAUCUCCGUGCUUAACAUGGAAACUGCCAUUGAUACUAUGUUUCUUGAAUUUUCUGGAGGUUAGCGGAAUAUGUCUGUAGCGGUGAAAUGCUUAGAUAUGACAUAGAACACCAAUUGCGAAGGCAGCUAGCUACAGGGAUAUUGACACUGAGGCACGAAAGCGUGGGGAUCAAACAGGAUUAGAUACCCUAGUAGUCC
Molecule: ribosomal RNA, 793 nt
Filed under: uncultured bacterium
Lineage: Bacteria
Description: bacterial SSU rRNA
Rfam family: Bacterial small subunit ribosomal RNA
Source: RNAcentral